UGACUCUGCUGUCGGACAUCACGAAGAAGAGUGCGUAUAAAAGAAGCAGGCGAGCGUUUCUCCUCCUCUUCUCUGCGUGGUUUUUUAAUCAUGUGGUGUAGUGUCUUUUUCUCUCUCACGCCUUUCAGGCUCACAGCUUCACGCGCACAUGGCUUGGAUAACUGGAGUAACACGUGAUCCUGUCUUAUGCGCUGUUAUUGGUUCCUACGAAUGUAGCAGUCCUGUGACUGGCUGGUGAAUUUAGGCUGUCCAGGAAGUGUAGUUAUAUGAAUGGAGAAAGCAGGACUCUAAUGGACCACAUUUGUGUUCUUUAGGAUGACAUCACAGGAAUAUCAGAGACUCCUUUUCAGCUGUGCAGAAGGUUUGCCCCUUCCUGUUUGAGGCCUUUUAAUCCAAGAUGGAAAUUGGUGUGCUCAAGAAGUCAAAGAUCUUGCAUCAUGCUUGUGCAUCCUUUUAUAUGGCUUGUGAAGUCAUUCCAUCACUUUGGGCUGCAUGUUGAUGUGAAUCCUGACCAUGUAAUGAGAAAUAAAUGGAUUUUGAUGCAAAA
Molecule: long non-coding RNA, 547 nt
Organism: Ictalurus punctatus (channel catfish)
Lineage: Eukaryota; Metazoa; Chordata; Actinopteri; Siluriformes; Ictaluridae
Exons: 5
Source: RefSeq, a predicted model, not a curated record